Molecule: ribosomal RNA, 572 nt
Filed under: Salmonella enterica
Lineage: Bacteria; Pseudomonadati; Pseudomonadota; Gammaproteobacteria; Enterobacterales; Enterobacteriaceae
Also listed under: 2 other names
Description: partial 23S ribosomal RNA
Rfam family: Bacterial large subunit ribosomal RNA
Source: RNAcentral
AGACCCGAAACCCGGUGAUCUAGCCAUGGGCAGGUUGAAGGUUGGGUAACACUAACUGGAGGACCGAACCGACUAAUGUUGAAAAAUUAGCGGAUGACCUGUGGCUGGGGGUGAAAGGCCAAUCAAACCGGGAGAUAGCUGGUUCUCCCCGAAAGCUAUUUAGGUAGCGCCUCGUGAAUUCAUCUCCGGGGGUAGAGCACUGUUUCGGCUAGGGGGCCAUCCCGGCUUACCAACCCGAUGCAAACUGCGAAUACCGGAGAAUGUUAUCACGGGAGACACACGGCGGGUGCUAACGUCCGUCGUGAAGAGGGAAACAACCCAGACCGCCAGCUAAGGUCCCAAAGUCAUGGUUAAGUGGGAAACGAUGUGGGAAGGCCCAGACAGCCAGGAUGUUGGCUUAGAAGCAGCCAUCAUUUAAAGAAAGCGUAAUAGCUCACUGGUCGAGUCGGCCUGCGCGGAAGAUGUAACGGGGCUAAACCAUGCACCGAAGCUGCGGCAGCGACACUGUGUGUUGUUGGGUAGGGGAGCGUUCUGUAAGCCUGUGAAGGUGUGUCGUGAGGCAUGCUGGAGGU